RNAcentral lists this ribosomal RNA (253 nucleotides) under uncultured bacterium. RNAcentral's name for it is "partial 16S ribosomal RNA". It matches the Rfam family "Bacterial small subunit ribosomal RNA", at positions 524 to 776 of the family's 1533-position model. The record is from RNAcentral.
UACGGAGGGUGCAAGCGUUAUCCGGAUUCACUGGGUUUAAAGGGUGCGUAGGUGGGCAGGUAAGUCAGUGGUGAAAUCUCCGGGCUUAACCCGGAAACUGCCAUUGAUACUAUCUGUCUUGAAUGUUGUGGAGGUGAGCGGAAUAUGUCAUGUAGCGGUGAAAUGCUUAGAUAUGACAUAGAACACCAAUUGCGAAGGCAGCUCGCUACACAAUUAUUGACUCUGAGGCACGAAAGCGUGGGGAUCAAACAGG